Molecule: ribosomal RNA, 1568 nt
Filed under: Bacteroidales bacterium
Lineage: Bacteria; Pseudomonadati; Bacteroidota; Bacteroidia; Bacteroidales
Description: partial 23S ribosomal RNA
Rfam family: Bacterial large subunit ribosomal RNA
Source: RNAcentral
AGAGAAGAAAUGAAGGGCGCAUGGCGGAUGCCUUGGCUCACGGAGGCGAUGAAGGACGCGAUAAGCUGCGAUAAUCCUCGGGGAGGGGCAAAUGCCCAGUGAUCCGGGGGUUUCCGAAUGGGACAACCCGGCCGCCUGAAGGGCGGUCAUCACCACAGUUUGUGUGGUGAGGCUAACGGAGGGAACUGAAACAUCUUAGUACCUCCAGGAAGAGAAAACAACAGUGAUUCCCCCAGUAGUGGCGAGCGAACGGGGAAGAGCCCAAACCGGGCGCCGUCCUUUCGGGCGCGCCCGGGGUAGUAGGACCGGCACGGUCCGAGCGCGACGGCGAGGGGAAGGGCCUGGAACGGCCCGCCAGAGGGGGUGAGAGCCCCGUACCCGAAGCCUGAGCGCCGGCGCCGGCAUCCUGAGUAGCGCGGGGCACGAGAAAUCCUGCGUGAAUCCGCCGGGACCAUCCGGCAAGGCUAAAUACUCCCGUGAGACCGAUAGUGCACGAGUACCGUGAGGGAAAGGUGAAAAGCACCCCGACGAGGGGAGUGAAAUAGUCCCUGAAACCAUGCGCCUACAAGCGGUCGGAGCGCGUUUUCCGCGUGACGGCGUGCCUUUUGCAUAAUGAACCUACGAGUUGCCGUCCGCAGCGAGGUUAAGCGCAACGAUGCGCGCAGCCGAAGCGAAAGCGAGUCUGAAGAGGGCGAAUAGUUGCUGGCGGCAGACGCGAAACCAAGUGAUCUACCCAUGGCCAGGUUGAAGUCCCGGUAACGCGGGAUGGAGGACCGAACCGAUAAGCGUUGAAAAGCUUCCGGAUGAGCUGUGGGUAGGAGUGAAAGGCCAAUCAAACUUGGAGAUAGCUCGUACUCCCCGAAAAGCAUUUAGGUGCUGCCUGGGGUGUUUCGCUCAGGAGGUAGAGCGACCGGUUGGAUGCGAGGGCUUCACCGCCUAUCAAGUCCUGUCGAACUCCGAAUGCCUGCGCGUGAAGCCCUGGAGAAAGGGGGCGGGUGCUAACGUCCGUUCCCGAGAGGAGAAGAAUCCAGACCACCGUCUAAGGUCCCGAAGUCACAGCUGAGUUAGGCUAACGAAGUCUCUUUCCGAUGACAGCUAGGAUGUUGGCUUGGAAGCAGCCAUUCAUUCAAAGAGUGCGUAACAGCUCACUAGUCGAGGAAUCAGGCAUGGAUAAUAAUCGGGUAUAAGCUGUGCACCGAAGCCGUGGGAGCCGUUAUGGCUCGGUAGGGGAGCAUUCCAGUCGCCUUGAAGGCGUGUUGCGAGACAUGCUGGAGCGUCUGGAAACGCAGAUGUAGGUAUAAGUAACGAUAAAGGGGGUGGGAUUCCCCCUCGCCGUAAGACCAAGGGUUCCCGGGCGACGUCAAUCGUCCCGGGGUAAGUCGGUGCCUAAGGAUAAGCCGAAAGGCGAUGCCGAUGGAAGAAGCGGUCAAGAUUCCGCUACUGGCGCGCGCUGCGACGCGGUGACGCGGGAGUGAAACCUCCGCGGCCUGACGGAAUAGGCCGUUGAAGGGUGUAGGAGUCGAUUCCGGCAGUCAAGCACACCGGGAGAUCCGAACCUGACAGUACGC